GAUGAACGCUGGCGGCGUGCCUAAUACAUGCAAGUCGAGCGAACAGACGAGGAGCUUGCUCCUCUGACGUUAGCGGCGGACGGGUGAGUAACACGUGGAUAACCUACCUAUAAGUCUGGGAUAACUUCGGGAAACCGGAGCUAAUACCGGAUAAUAUAUUGAACCGCAUGGUUCAAUAGUGAAAGACGGUUUUGCUGUCACUUAUAGAUGGAUCCGCGCUGCAUUAGCUAGUUGGUAAGGUAACGGCUUACCAAGGCAACGAUGCGUAGCCGACCUGAGAGGGUGAUCGGCCACACUGGAACUGAGACACGGUCCAGACUCCUACGGGAGGCAGCAGUAGGGAAUCUUCCGCAAUGGGCGAAAGCUUGACGGAGCAACGCCGCGUGAGUGAUGAAGGUCUUCGGAUCGUAAAACUCUGUUAUUAGGGAAGAACACAUGUGUAAGUAACUAUGCACGUCUUGACGGUACCUAAUCAGAAAGCCACGGCUAACUACGUG
RNAcentral lists this ribosomal RNA (497 nucleotides) under uncultured bacterium. RNAcentral describes it as "partial 16S ribosomal RNA". It matches the Rfam family "Bacterial small subunit ribosomal RNA", at positions 28 to 507 of the family's 1533-position model. The record is from RNAcentral.